This 497-nucleotide ribosomal RNA is filed under the name uncultured bacterium. RNAcentral's name for it is "partial 16S ribosomal RNA". It matches the Rfam family "Bacterial small subunit ribosomal RNA", at positions 28 to 507 of the family's 1533-position model. The record is from RNAcentral.
GAUGAACGCUUUCUUCUUUCCUAAUACAUGCAAGUCGAGCGAACAGACGAGGAGCUUGCUCCUCUGACGUUAGCGGCGGACGGGUGAGUAACACGUGGAUAACCUACCUAUAAGACUGGGAUAACUUCGGGAAACCGGAGCUAAUACCGGAUAAUAUAUUGAACCGCAUGGUUCAAUAGUGAAAGACGGUUUUGCUGUCACUUAUAGAUGGAUCCGCGCCGCAUUAGCUAGUUGGUAAGGUAACGGCUUACCAAGGCAACGAUGCGUAGCCGACCUGAGAGGGUGAUAGGCCACACUGGAACUGAGACACGGUCCAGACUCCUACGGGAGGCAGCAGUAGGGAAUCUUCCGCAAUGGGCGAAAGCUUGACGGAGCAACGCCGCGUGAGUGAUGAAGGUCUUCGGAUCGUAAAACUCUGUUAUUAGGGAAGAACAAAUGUGUAAGUAACUAUGCACGUCUUGACGGUACCUAAUCAGAAAGCCAAGGCUAAAUACGGG